This 215-nucleotide ribosomal RNA is filed under the name uncultured Chlamydiales CRG92. RNAcentral's name for it is "partial 16S ribosomal RNA". It matches the Rfam family "Bacterial small subunit ribosomal RNA", at positions 66 to 273 of the family's 1533-position model. Lineage: Bacteria; Pseudomonadati; Chlamydiota; Chlamydiia; Chlamydiales. The record is from RNAcentral.
ACGGUUAAGUAGCAAUACUUAAUAGUGGCGGAAGGGUUAGUAAUACAUGGGUAACUUGCCUUUAACUGUGGAAUAACGGUUGGAAACGACCGCUAAUACCACACGUGGUGUAACGGGGCAUCCUAGUUACAUUAAAGUAGGGGAUCGCAAGACCUUACGGUUAAAGAGAGGCCCAUGGGAUAUCAGCUAGUUGGUGAGGUAAGAGCUCACCAAGG